This 495-nucleotide ribosomal RNA is filed under the name uncultured bacterium. Its description in RNAcentral is "partial 16S ribosomal RNA". It matches the Rfam family "Bacterial small subunit ribosomal RNA", at positions 28 to 507 of the family's 1533-position model. The record is from RNAcentral.
GACGAACGCUGGCGGCGUGCCUAAUACAUGCAAGUAGAACGCUGAAGGAGGAGCUUGCUUCUCCGGAUGAGUUGCGAACGGGUGAGUAACGCGUAGGUAACCUGCCUGGUAGCGGGGGAUAACUAUUGGAAACGAUAGCUAAUACCGCAUAAGAGUAGAUGUCGCAUGACAUUUGCUUAAAAGGUGCAACUGCACCACUACCAGAUGGACCUGCGUUGUAUUAGCUAGUUGGUGAGGUAACGGCUCACCAAGGCAACGAUACAUAGCCGACCUGAGAGGGUGAUCGGCCACACUGGGACUGAGACACGGCCCAGACUCCUACGGGAGGCAGCAGUAGGGAAUCUUCGGCAAUGGACGGAAGUCUGACCGAGCAACGCCGCGUGAGUGAAGAAGGGUUUCGGAUCGUAAAGCUCUGUUGUAAGAGAAGAACGAGUGUGAGAGUGGAAAGUUCACACUGUGACGGUAUCUUACCAGAAGGGGACGGCUAACUACGUG